UACGUAGGGUGCAAGCGUUGUCCGGAAUUAUUGGGCGUAAAGAGCUCGUAGGCGGUCUGUCGCGUCUGCUGUGAAAACUCAGGGCUUAACCCUGAGCUUGCAGUGGGUACGGGCAGUCUAGAGUGCGGUAGGGGAGACUGGAAUUCCUGGUGUAGCGGUGAAAUGCGCAGAUAUCAGGAGGAACACCGGUGGCGAAGGCGGGUCUCUGGGCCGUAACUGACGCUGAGGAGCGAAAGCAUGGGGAGCGAACAGG
This 253-nucleotide ribosomal RNA is filed under the name uncultured bacterium. Its description in RNAcentral is "partial 16S ribosomal RNA". It matches the Rfam family "Bacterial small subunit ribosomal RNA", at positions 524 to 776 of the family's 1533-position model. The record is from RNAcentral.